CGCCCCUGUGGGGAACCGUUCGUUCUUUCUUCCAGAAAGGAACCGUUGCUAGACUCAACACAUUCCUUUAAAUCUGACGGUGAGGCCAUCCAGAUCAAAAAUACGGGACUUUUAACAGGUAAACAACAAGAUGUUUACACAUUGUUGGCGUGUUAACAACAUAUUAUCAACAACAUGUUAACAUGUUGACAGCGUAUGAAAAUAUUCAUGUUUUUUUUUUUUUUUUUUUUUAACUAAAUAAUCCUUAAAAUAAAGAGGCAUGGCCACAGUUGGGUCUGGUUCUGGUACUGACCCGUUCCAAUGAAUUGAGCUUAGACUCUAAGUAAAUCAGUUUUUAUCAACAUAAAGAGGAGCUGACUGGUUCUGACUUCCUGUCUGAUCCGUCAGCUCCGAUCUGGACCGGACCAGACCAGAUCCGGUUCGGUAAGUGAUGAGGCCCACAGGAACUCCAGAACACGGCUUUAUUCACAGCUACGCUACGGCUGAAUACAAAACAAGAAGCAACACAUUAGAUUUGGCAAAAUGAAUCUUUGAAAUCGGCGGCUGCAGCAGAGAGAAGCACUAUAUGAGGAGAAAACCACAGAAGAAGAAGUCCUCCUCACAGCAGAAGACAGAUUGAUGGAUUCAUCCGCUGCUGAAAGUAGUCCCAGACAAGUCCAAGAGUCAACCUGAAAGCUCGUCGGGUUUCAUGAUUCUGUGACUGAACUCAAAGUUUUUCAAUGAAACAAAAAUAUACAGAAAACAAUCAGAACACUCAAACAGAUCCAGUCCUGGUCCGAAGUUCUGAUCCGGCCCGGGUUUUCCGUCCAAGCAGCCAGAAAAAUCCAACAUGAGCCCAAUCCGGCUCAGACGUCCCAGUGGUUCUGAUGGGGCUGGGAUGGACCGGAUCAGUUUGACCAGUUUAAUUUGGCUGCAUUGAAGUAGACCAUGAAGGACCGGAUCAGAACCUUUAAACAGAACCGUUCUUCAUUCUGGUCUUUAGUGAACA
Molecule: long non-coding RNA, 988 nt
Organism: Poecilia latipinna (sailfin molly)
Lineage: Eukaryota; Metazoa; Chordata; Actinopteri; Cyprinodontiformes; Poeciliidae
Exons: 2
Source: RefSeq, a predicted model, not a curated record